UUCAGAGUGAAGACCAUAGCGCCUUUUCCUAGUCAAGUAUCGGGCAGCUUUAUGUCUUUUCAGAAAUGCACAUGUCUUCUUUAGCAUGUCAUUGUGAUUGCUUUUAAUAAGAUAGGCAAUAAACUCAUAACCUUUAGAAAAAGGAGCAUCUGUAAAUUCAGAUUUCACUAUUUCAUAGUCAGCCAGACCAUGAUUGAGCUUAAGGAGUGUGCUGCGGAUGCGGCCUGUGCAGUUCCGGGAGAAAGUCACUGUCUUGGGAAUUGCGGUCUGGUAUCAGGUCUGGAUGAUCCUUGCCUGACUCCGGGUUUGUGUACACCUCAAUCCGACUCCCUGUCCGGUACCGAGGCCGCAGUGGUGCAGCGCCUGUGGACGAUCCAUCAACAUUCUGAAAGGUCAACACUUCACCAAGCUGGGCAAAUUGAUCCUGAUAGUCAUCCCCAGAGUCAGCCAGACCAUGAUUGAGCUUAAGGAGUGUGCUGCGGAUGCGGCCUGUGCUGUUCCGGGAGUAAGUCACUGUCUUGGGCAUUGCGGUCUGGUAUCAGGUCUGGAUGAUCCUUGCCUGACUCCGGGUUUGUGUACACCUCAAUCCGACUCCCUGUCCGGUACCGAGGCCGCAGUGGUGCAGCGCCUGUGGACGAUCCAUCAACAUCCUGAAAGGUCAACACUUCACCAAGCUGGGAAAAUUGAUCCUGAUAGUCAUCCCCAGGUAGUGAAAUGAAUGUACACUGAACUACAGAGGAAGCACACCCAAAUGACUUUCCCGACAUUAGUGUGGCCCCUCGGGCAGGAAUUCCUUAACAAACAUGCUUUUUUGCAUGGGGACGGUGGCAUUUUUGCAAAACUUAAGCUUUCAACACUGGAUUUUAAAGAGAACACUUAAUAAAAUGUAGCCUACAGGACUUAUUUUUAUGAGAGAGACUAUCUGGAUGAGCAACAAAUGUCACAUUGUGUCGUAAGCUGUUGAAGGAGCGAUUUGCGCCAUUCUAAGUGUUAAUUUUGGGUAGCAGGCUUGUAUCGGCUUGAAAGCUGCAAAUUAUUCCUUUCAUCAUAAUAGCAUUAAUUAUUUUAAUUGCAAUGUGUAUGU
Dreissena polymorpha is the source of this 1084-nucleotide long non-coding RNA. RefSeq lists it as uncharacterized. The record is from RefSeq and is a predicted model, not a curated record. The transcript has 4 exons. Lineage: Eukaryota; Metazoa; Mollusca; Bivalvia; Myida; Dreissenidae.